Vicia faba (fava bean) is the source of this 164-nucleotide non-coding RNA. Lineage: Eukaryota; Viridiplantae; Streptophyta; Magnoliopsida; Fabales; Fabaceae. The record is from the annotation of a GenBank genome assembly.
ACAAAACAGCAGUCCAUCAAGCAUUCUUUCCCCACCUCUUCUUCAUGAUUUUUUUUGCUAUCUUAGUUCAUUUCUCUAAUCUUCCUUCGCUUUCUAACAGUAAAACGAUUUCUAUAGUUCUUCUUCCAUCCUAUACUCUCAAUUUCUCUCAUAUCUCACAGUAG